GAUAAACGCUGGCGGCGUGCCUAACACAUGCAAGUCGAACGCGCUUUCUCGCAUGCUUCGUUAAGAAGCGAGCAAGAGAGCGCGUGGCGGACGGGUGAGUAACACAUGGGUCACCUACCUUUCAGUGAGGAAUACCGACGAGAAAUCGUCGACAAUACCGCAUAUGCUCUUUAUUGAGAGCAAAGUCCUUUCGCAAGAAGGGACGCUGGAAGAUGGGCCUGUGGCCGAUUAGCUGGUUGGGAGGGUAAUGGCCUACCAAGGCGACGAUCGGUAGCUG
RNAcentral lists this ribosomal RNA (277 nucleotides) under uncultured bacterium. RNAcentral describes it as "partial 16S ribosomal RNA". It matches the Rfam family "Bacterial small subunit ribosomal RNA", at positions 28 to 289 of the family's 1533-position model. The record is from RNAcentral.